Molecule: transfer RNA, 57 nt
Filed under: Fusarium pseudograminearum CS3220
Lineage: Eukaryota; Fungi; Ascomycota; Sordariomycetes; Hypocreales; Nectriaceae
Also listed under: 4 other names
Source: RNAcentral
AUGAGGGUAAAAGAGUUCGUUUUGUUCUUACUCAAAAAGAAAGUGAUAUACUUCAUA